UUAAGUUGUUGCGGUUAAAAAGCUCGUAGUUGGAUUUUGGGCGCAGGCGGCCGGUCCGUCGCAAGGCGUGUACUGGCCGUCCUGGCCUCACCUCCGGUUCUCCGCCGGUGCCCUUGACUGAGUGUCGGCGGCGGCCGGAACGUUUACUUUGAAAAAAUUAGAGUGUUCAAAGCAGGCGAUUCGCCUGAAUAAUGGUGCAUGGAAUAAUGGAAUAGGACCUCGGUUCUAUUUUGUUGGUUUUCGGAGCGCGAGGUAAUGAUUAAGAGGGACAGACGGGGGCAUUCGUACUGUGCCGUUAGAGGUGAAAUUCUUGGAUCGGCGCAAGACGAACGACUGCGAAAGCAUUUGCCAAGAAUGUUUUCUUUAAUCAAGAGCGAAAGUCAGAGGUUCGAAGACGAUCAGAUACCGUCCUAGUUCUGACUAUAAACGAUGCCAACUAGCGAUCGGGGGGCGUUAGUUUUACGACCUCUCCGGCAGCUUGCGGGAAACCAAAGUCUUUGGGUUCCGGGGGAAGUAUGGUUGCAAAGCUGAAACUUAAAGGAAUUGACGGAAGGGCACCACCAGGAGUGGAGCCUGCGGCUUAAUUUGACUCAACACGGGAAAUCUCACCCGGCCCGGACACAGUGAGGAUUGACAGAUUGAGAGCUCUUUCUUGAUUCUGUGGGUGGUGGUGCAUGGCCGUUCUUAGUUGGUGGAGCGAUUUGUCUGGUUAAUUCCGAUAACGAACGAGACUCUGGCUUGCUAACUAGUUACGCGACCCAAUCGGUCGGCGUCUAACUUCUUAGAGGGACUAGUGGCGUUUAGCCACACGAGAUUGAGCAAUAACAGGUCUGUGAUGCCCUUAGAUGUUCGGGGCCGCACGCGCGCUACACUGACCGGAUCAGCAUGUGCUCGCCUUGGCCGACAGGUCUGGGUAACCCGCUGAACCCCGGUCGUGCUAGGGAUAGGGAAUUGCAAUUAUUUCCCUUGAACGAGGAAUUCCCAGUAAGCGCGAGUCAUU
RNAcentral lists this ribosomal RNA (1000 nucleotides) under Ascidiella aspersa. RNAcentral describes it as "SSU rRNA". It matches the Rfam family "Eukaryotic small subunit ribosomal RNA", at positions 605 to 1632 of the family's 1831-position model. Lineage: Eukaryota; Metazoa; Chordata; Ascidiacea; Phlebobranchia; Ascidiidae. The record is from RNAcentral.